Molecule: ribosomal RNA, 237 nt
Filed under: uncultured bacterium
Lineage: Bacteria
Description: partial 16S ribosomal RNA
Rfam family: Bacterial small subunit ribosomal RNA
Source: RNAcentral
AACGAACGCUGGCGGCGUGGAUAAGACAUGCAAGUCGAACGGCCCGACAUUUUAGCAAGUAAAAUGUCGGGGUAGUGGCGAAAGGGUGCGUAACACGUGGCUACCUACCUCGAAGUUGGGAUAGCUCGGCGAAAGCCGGAUUAAUACCGAAUGUGAUCGUGAGAUCAAAGCUGGGGAUCGUAAGACCUGGCGCUUUGAGAUGGGCUGCGGCCUAUCAGGUAGUUGGCGGGGUAAUGG